AGCUUCAUAAAUUGUGCUUAAAGCGAGUUAAAGGCUGCUUACAAUAACAAGAGCAUUUCCAUAUUCAUAAGCAGCCAAAAAAGAACGAUUCAGAGCUGGAAUCUUGGAUAACUUGGCUUUUCGACUAGCUGAUGAUGCGCUUUGUCAGCGCUUGAGUAUCGUGAGCGUCAUUAGUGUAAACGAUACGGAAUACCUUCGUCCACUGCCAGAGACACCAGAGACACCAGAGACAACAACAGCAACAUGUAUCCGGCCAGCGCCAGCAGCAAUGCCGCUGCCACCGCCGCCGCCGCAUCCAAGUUUCAGAAUCGUUGCGCCUCGCCACAAUUUGCCAGCUUUGCGCCACCACCGCCGGCAGAUUAUCCGCCGCCUUCGUUGCAGCAACAGCAACAACAGCAGCAGCAGCAAUUGCAACUGCAGCAACAACAGCAACAGUUGUCGGCACAAACCACAGCGGUGGCGGUGCAUAGUGCAC
Long non-coding RNA from Drosophila innubila, 475 nucleotides. RefSeq lists it as uncharacterized. The transcript is spliced from 3 exons. Lineage: Eukaryota; Metazoa; Arthropoda; Insecta; Diptera; Drosophilidae. The record is from RefSeq and is a predicted model, not a curated record.